AGUUGUUCUGCAAUUUCAUAACAGUUUGGAAGCCCAUGGACUACAGUUGUAUCUUCAUUACAGAACUUGUGGAAUAAUUCCAAGCAAAAGAUUAGUAUAUGGGAGUAGAUCACGCACUAGACCUAUCAGUUCGAAAAUAUUCUAAAUGUGAACCUUCAUCUAUUUCUAUUCUGAAGAGCUUGGUCCAUAAACUUUUGUUUUCAAUUGAAGUAAAAUGUCCAAGUUGUCUAUCAUGAUGUUUAAUGAAUUUUAACAUUUUGGCAAUUUGAAUUCUAUCUCAAAACUGAUAU
Molecule: unclassified non-coding RNA, 290 nt
Filed under: Hevea brasiliensis (rubber tree)
Lineage: Eukaryota; Viridiplantae; Streptophyta; Magnoliopsida; Malpighiales; Euphorbiaceae
Source: RNAcentral